Molecule: non-coding RNA, 6140 nt
Organism: Myodes glareolus (Bank vole)
Lineage: Eukaryota; Metazoa; Chordata; Mammalia; Rodentia; Cricetidae
Source: RefSeq, a predicted model, not a curated record
CUUCCCGUGCUGAGCGGACUCCCCUGGCUGCCUCCUGUGCUCAGAUUGUGUUUUCUAAUCACCAUCUUCCCCCUUUCUUCAUGUGGGAGACACACGAGGUGUGUCGAAGUGUGAACUCUCCAAACUCCAGCCUUCUCUAUAGCUCCUUGGGUUGGUGGGUUGGUGCUCCUCUUCGUUGGACAUAGUUAUCAACCCUUGGACUUAGAGAAUCAACAAUGCUCCCAUACCUAGAAAGCAAGGUGCAUGAAGUCGGUGCAGUGGGAGUCUGGAUGGUCUAGAGAGCCUGGGGCACCUUUGAAUUUCCAAAGACCCUCCUUCACCAGGGCCCCAAGCCCAGUGCUCAAAAUCAAGGAGCAAAGGGGAGUGCUGACUUCUAUUCUGUCAGCUCAGCCUUAGGGUAGCGCCAGUACCGAGCUCUGGAGGAAGAGCUCCACCCUGAGAUUGGCGCGCCAGAGAGCCAAGGCUCUGCAACUCCUUCCUGCCACCGGCUGGGCCCUGACCUCAUAUGCCAAGAGGUUGCCUAUAACUAGUCCCCAGAGCCCCCCUUCCUGCUUCGGCCAGGCAGCAGCCCCAUCUCCUCUUCCCUCCCCCACCUCAGACUCACUCGUAGUUAACAUAUUGUGUUUAUUGACUUUUGGGAAAUAGGUCAAAAAUGGGUUUGGGUGUAGGUCCAAAUGCUCUCAAAGAAUGUUGGGGGGGCACAGAAAGUGGCAAUGAUCGUCUUAGUCGUUCCGGGAUCCUUACAAAGUGCUUUGAUUCCCUCUAUACUGGCUUCAGGCUCUUGCGGGUAUUCUCUGAAAUCUACUCAUGGAGGGGCUGCCAGCCCCUGCCCCUGCCGCACUGGGCUGGGCUCUUCUUGGGUAAAGCAGUUCUUGGUUGCGCUGGUAAGCAGCUGCCUGCCAUGUAGUUGUUGUUUCCAAUCUGCACUCUACAACAGUUCUCGAGGAUGACUUGAGGUAAGUUCUGUGGUCCUUUGAAAGAAAGGGAGGUGGUGGUGGGAGGGUUCAGUGGUUAGAAAGAAGCGAUUAACAAGCACUGUGGGGAGAGGGGCAGCGACACCUUGUGUUCGUCCUGGGGAGUGCAAAUGCAGGGUCUUAGCCUGCUAGUGACUGUGAUGAGCUGGGCCUCUCCAGAGUUAGAAAAAGCUGAAGAGGAAUAGCGCCUGCUGUUUGGGUGUCUUUGAUGGAAGACCCUCUGGAUUGCCUUAGCAAUAAAGAAACUGUGAAGGCGCAUGGAUCUGGUGUUGGAGACAGACAGCAGACCCCAGGGCAAAACCAGGUUAUGUGUGACUUCAGUGGGAUCUUCACCCAAUGAAUGUCAGGUUCCUCAUGCAUUAAAUGAGAAAGAUUGGGUUGGAUGAUCUCUAGUCCUUUCUUCCCCCCUCCGAGGUAACUCGUCUCUAUCCAUAGGUGUUGGGGAAGAAGGUGAUGGGAAAGCUGAUCAGGGGGAGAGCAAUAGAGGUUGAAGAAUGGGUACCUUGUGUUGGAUCUGGCCCUGGAGCCCAGGAGGUACCUUGUCUUUCAUCUCCCUGCAAAUAGCACAGAGUUCUCAGACUUUCUAUUCAAGGGGAUAGUUCCAUCACUGUGGACACCUCAACCCCAGCUUUUCCCUGGUAAGGAGGCAUACUGCCAAUGUCUCACCUGUUUCCUUUGGGGGUGAGGACCGGGAACCUCAGGGAAGUUUGGGCUGGGUGUUGGGCCUCUGAAGGGUAAAGUGUGUGGCAUUUGGGGAGUCCCAGCCCCCGCACCCAAAGAUGUGGCUGCUGUUGUGGCACACCCAAUUGGUUCGUGCUGUUCUCUUCUCUCCGGAAGGCUUAUGCCUUUUUCGGGAACUGGUCUGGAGCCCCCCUCCAGAUGCAGGUUGUUCAGCAUGUCAGAAACUGAGCUUUUCCUAGGGCCUGGACCUCUCUGGCCUGGCACUAGAGCAGCCAAGGUUCUGCUGCUGUUUCUGUGCUGAGACAGAUGCUGCUUCACCUGCACAGACAGGAGUUGGGGAGCCAGAGUAAGUACCAGGGAUUAUCUGCUGAGUCGGUUACCUGGAGACUCAGGGGUAGGUUGGGGUGGGCGGGGAUGAUGGUCAAGGAUUAAAGAAUGGUGACCAGCGAAGAUACAUCAGAUAGUCAAAGGGGUCACAUGUGCCGUUCCUGAAUAGCUCCUGGGUGGGAAGGCGGUUUUGGAAACAUACCUCGGAGACAGCAGCAUCUACCUUGUCCUGUACCAGGAGGGAGGUAUCACAUGUUUUGGGUCGGCAAUCUGAAAGACGUCAGAGUGAGUUGCAUGCGAGCAGGACAAGCUUCCUGAUCCUAGUUGCUAGAGAAACCCCCAGCUCACCCUGGAAGGUUGGCCUGUCCUUGGGCUCAGAACUCCAGCAGCGCACCAUUAACUCCUUCAGCACUUCCAAGCCAGGAGUCUCAGGGCUGGGGGGAGGCAGCUCUGUCAACGGGGGUCGAUUCUGCCUUUCACAAACUGCGUCAUGAACUAGUGAUGUUUGGUCUACCACUGGAGUGGGGGUGAUAACAAUAGGAAUCCAUGAUAUGAGGGCACACACCAUGGACAGAAGCCGGGAGUGUCAGCCCAGGGAGAGGUAGAGUAGGAAGAGGGAAGCUGAGUAGGUAAGGGUGAAAGGCAGGGCUCGGGGGUUUUAAGUGCUUCUGGCACCUGGGGUAAGAGUCUUAGAGUCUCUCUAGAGUCUUACACUCAACUUCUCUUCCAGCCAGCACAGCCCACGUGAGAAUCCCAAAGCUGCAUAGACACAAAAUGGAGGCUUAGCCAACCCCUGGGAAGACCACUUUCCCAGGCUAUAUCCUUUAGAAGGGCCCAAUAGCAUAGAAAUUUGGGAUGUUUUGAACUGGAUAGCUUACCUGUAGAUGUCACUGGCUGGGGAAGCGGUCCGGUUGACAUUAACCAAUAGCUCUGGGGCCAAGUAAGCUAGGGUACCCCCUGAAUCCCUGGACCCUGAUCCUGACUGUGACCCUCCCUGAAAGGUGGACAGGCCAAAAUCUGCUAGCUGUAAGGGAAAGGAAGAGGGAGGUAUUAGAUGAAGGGGCCGACGUUCUUCAGAAUUUUCCCCCUCUCUCCUCCAGAAGAUGCAGCCUCAGUUUUUUGAAGGUGGUCUGGAGGACCAGAGGGAAAGGUGGAGUCAGUGAGACCUCAAGGAGGAGUUCUAAGAUGCUGAUGGGCAAGCCUGGGUCUAGGUGUGUCAGGAUUUCUGGGAUAAGUCAACCUGGGUCCAUGGGGGUGGGGGGCUUUGUGGAAUAGGCUUAUGGAACUGAUCCAGGUGGGUAAGAAGGGCCUCUGUCACCUGGUAUGACUAGAGAUAAAAUUCCUGAGUGACCUGGGCAGUCUUGUAUUUAGAGGGACAGGCAGAGGGUAUUCAACACGGUUCCAAGCUUGCAGUAGGGUGUAGAUGGGCUGACCUUGGCAUGGAGCUCUGGGUCCAGCAGGACAUUGGAAGGCUUGAGGUCCCGGUGUAGGAGCACUGGGUUCAAGCUGUGCAGGUAACACAUCCCCAGCACCACUUCAUGCAGCAGGCGACAGAGGAGCGGCCAGGGUCGAGGACACAUGGGCUGCAGCAGCCCUGCGAGGGAGCCAUUCUCCAUGAAUACUGUCACCAGAGCCGGCCCAGAUAAGUAAUCCCACUUGAGGUUCUCGGCGACCCCCAGCAGGAGCAGCACGUGCUUGUUACGCAGAUUCACCAUAGCUUUCACCUCCCUGGAUAUCGCCUUCCUACACUCCGAAAAAGAGUCACAGUUGGGUCGGACCCUGGAAGACCCCCUCACCCCUCCCCUUGCCCCUUCAGGCUCCUUGAUCAGAUCCUGCCUACAGCUGGGGUCACUCACGAGUUCACGAUCUUGACUGCCACAUCAUGGCCCCAAGUUCUGUGUUGUGCCCGGUACACUGUACCAAAUCCGCCUUCGCCCACAAACUCCGGGUUCUUCAGUUCAUCACAGGAUACAAGAGAGGCCGAGGCACCACAGCGCCUGAGAGAAGGUUCUCAUCCAGUAGGGGAGCCCGCCUCCACGUCAGCAUAUUCUCCGUCUCCAGUUCCACGGCUGAGCGUGGGCAGCGUGUCAACCUCCCCCUGCGACCCACUCGGCCCCCAGCUUUGUCCCCUGCCUCAGCAAAGGCGCCCUCUGGGUGUGUCCCCGAUAUCCUGUGUGGCUGUGCCGGAGACUGAGGAUCCACGGCACACUCCCUACUCACCAUAACUUGGCAGAAGACAUCAGGAGUUAGCGGCUUCCAGGAGUUAUGUGCACAGAAAGCAGGAACGACGUCUACAGCUGGGGGUUUGAGAGGAAGACGGGGCCUGCAAAGGGAGUGAUCUAUUGGUCCAGGCACGGAGGUCCAGGCCCCGAAUUCCACUUCUCACGCAACUUUGAAUGAGUGACCGAAUAACUUCCUUCUUAAAGGAGGUCCCGCCCCUUGGGGUGGAGCAAAUGAAAACUGUUCAUUUGGGCUGUUCAUUUCUGUGCACCUGCCUCGAAUCCACAGGAGUAAUUGGGCAUUGGGUGUGUCACAAGAAAGAAAGGAAGGAAGGAGGAAAGAAAGAAGAAUCCUCACCACCCAGGAACGCACAAUCGGCUCUGCACAACAGCCCAGUCUCUCUUGGAACUCUGUGUUCCCAGCUCCAUCACCUGCCUAAUUGGGUUGAAGGGAGAAUGGAAAUUUUAUGGUCUUAGACUCAGCUCUUCUAAGAUCAUGGGUAAUGCUUCUAAUAAGGCUUGCCUCGGGUCAGGUACACAUAACCCUCUUCCUUAAUCUCGGAUCAACCUUAUUUACCUUUCUAUAGACCAGGAAACACAAGCACUUACAGUUUAAGUACCUUGGGCAAGUAAGUAUGGAAAUAGUUUAGAACCUGGUUCUACUUUACCAAGAUAGCCCAUACUUAUUUAUUUAAAAAUUUUUUUGACAGGUUCUCUCUCGUAGCCCUGGCUGGUCUAGAAUUUGCUAUAUAGACCGGGCAGACUCAGACUUACAGAGGGCCAUCUGCCUCUGCCUCUAGAAGAAAUCCAUGAAGUGACCCUGAAUUGCAGCCUCCUGAUUUCCCCUGGGACCCGUCCGGCGAUGAAGCAGCUUCCCUCUCCUCCCUGCACAGUGCUAGAUCAGAAAGCCUUUGCUGUUCAAGCGUGGACCUAAUUGAAAUGAGCAGGGGAGUUUGCCUAUGGGCAGGACCUUCUAUCUGGCCAAAGACCGCUUCAGCUCAGAGUUCCCUCCUCACUACCUUAACUGCUGGGAAACAUGCCCUCACCAGAAGGGGAGAAAUAUCCUCAGAAGGAAAAACAAAACAAAACAAAACAAAAAACAAAACAACCACGACAAAAAUCUGCCACUUUGGGGAACUGGGCUGCAUUUGGAGAAGUCCCAACGCAAACCCAGAGUCUGGGCAGAAAAGAACUCUGGGUGCGAUCACUACUCUUCCGUGUUGUGUGUACCGGCAGAUCACAGGUCUGAUUGGCAAGCUCGUUCUUCCUGCUGUUAUGUGUUACAGUAGAUGACACAUUUUACUGGGAGGACUGUCUUACCUUGAGUCUGUGAAGAACCGGGAGUGGAAGAAGAAAGAAGCAUCAUGGGAAGGGAAGGAAUGAGGGUCCCCAAGUACUGGGUAAGGAUGGUGUGAUGGCUGGUGUUGCCAACUUGACAAAGUCUAGAACCAUCUGGAAGAUGGACUGCUGUGUAUUAUCUGGAUUAUGUUCUUUGAGGUGGGAAGACCCACCCACUGUGCGGCCAUUCCUAAAGUCGGGAAUCUUGGAUUAUUUUAAGAGUGGAGAAAGAGAGGUGAACACUAGCAAGCCUGACCGCUCUCUUCUUCUGCUGGAGACAGAGCAGGACCUGCUGCUUCAGGCUCCCCGCACUGUGCUUCCUGGCCAUGACUGACUGUAACCUGAACCCCUGAGCUAAAUGAACUCUCUCCUUGAACUUACUUUUUGUCAGGAUAUUUUAUCAUAAAAACUGGAAAAGAAAUGAGGACAGAUGGGUUUUAUAGGCAUAGGAAAAUUAAUUAGCCUGUGUUGAGGUCAUGCGAACAAUACCACAAUAAAAAAAUUAAAUUAAGCAAUUUUCUUGGGUACACAUGUCCUCCUCGCUCCCCUUAUUUUUAGUUUUUGGAGACAGGGUUUCUCUGUGUAAUAGUCUUAGGCUGUC